This 447-nucleotide ribosomal RNA is filed under the name uncultured bacterium. RNAcentral describes it as "bacterial SSU rRNA". It matches the Rfam family "Bacterial small subunit ribosomal RNA", at positions 330 to 794 of the family's 1533-position model. The record is from RNAcentral.
UCCAGACUCCUACGGGAGGCAGCAGUGGGGAAUAUUGCACAAUGGGCGAAAGCCUGAUACAGCGACGCCGCGUGAGUGAAGAAGUAUUUCGGUAUGUAAAGCUCUAUCAGCAGGGAAGAAAAUGACGGUACCUGACCAAGAAGCCCCGGCUAACUACGUGCCAGCAGCCGCGGUAAUACGUAGGGGGCAAGCGUUAUCCGGAUUUACUGGGUGUAAAGGGAGCGUAGACGGCCGUGCAAGUCUGAUGUGAAAACCCGGGGCUCAACCCCGGGACUGCAUUGGAAACUGCAUGGCUGGAGUGUCGGAGAGGCAAGUGGAAUUCCUAGUGUAGCGGUGAAAUGCGUAGAUAUUAGGAGGAACACCAGUGGCGAAGGCGGCUUGCUGGACGACGACUGACGUUGAGGCUCGAAAGCGUGGGGAGCAAACAGGAUUAGAUACCCCCGUAGC